AGAGUUUGAUCAUGGCUCAGGACGAACGCUUGCGGCGUGCCUAAGAAAUGCAAGUCGAGCGGACAGUCGCAAGACUGUUAGCGGCGAACGGUCGCGUAACACGUAGGCAACCUGCCCCAAAGACCGGGACAACAGGGGGAAACUCUUGCUAAUACCGGAUGUGGCCACUCCCUCGCCUGGGGGAGUGAUUAAAUCCAAGUAAUUGGGCUUUGGGAGGGGCCUGCGGCCUAUCAGCUAGUAGGUGAGGUAACGGCUCACCUAGGCGACGACGGGUAGCUGGUCUGAGAGGAUGGUCAGCCGGACUGGGACUGAGACACGGCCCAGACUCCUACGGGGGGCAGCAAUUAGGAAUCUUGUGCAAUGGGCGAAAGCCUGACACAGCGACGCCGCGUGAGGGAGGACGGCCUUCGGGUUGUAAACCUCUUUUAACGAGGAAGAAACAAAUGACGGUACUCGUUGAAUAAGCCCCGGCUAACUCCGUGCCAGCAGCCGCGGUA
This 497-nucleotide ribosomal RNA is filed under the name uncultured bacterium. RNAcentral describes it as "bacterial SSU rRNA". It matches the Rfam family "Bacterial small subunit ribosomal RNA", at positions 8 to 522 of the family's 1533-position model. The record is from RNAcentral.